AGUGAACGCUGGCGGUAGGCCUAACACAUGCAAGUCGAACGGCAGCACAGUAAGAGCUUGCUCUUACGGGUGGCGAGUGGCGGACGGGUGAGGAAUACAUCGGAAUCUACUUUUUCGUGGGGGAUAACGUAGGGAAACUUACGCUAAUACCGCAUACGACCUACGGGUGAAAGCAGGGGAUCUUCGGACCUUGCGCGAUUGAAUGAGCCGAUGUCGGAUUAGCUAGUUGGCGGGGUAAAGGCCCACCAAGGCGACGAUCCGUAGCUGGUCUGAGAGGAUGAUCAGCCACACUGGAACUGAGACACGGUCCAGACUCCUACGGGAGGCAGCAGUGGGGAAUAUUGGACAAUAGGCGCAAGCCUGAUCCAGCCAUACCGCGUGGGUGAAGAAGGCCUUCGGGUUGUAAAGCCCUUUUGUUGGGAAAGAAAAGCAGCAGGUUAAUACCCCGCUGUUCUGACGGUACCCAAAGAAUAAGCACCGGCUAACUUCGU
Molecule: ribosomal RNA, 491 nt
Filed under: uncultured bacterium
Lineage: Bacteria
Description: partial 16S ribosomal RNA
Rfam family: Bacterial small subunit ribosomal RNA
Source: RNAcentral